GGGGAAUAUUGCACAAUGGGGGAAACCCUGAUGCAGCAACGCCGCGUGAGUGAUGAAGGCCUUCGGGUUGUAAAGCUCUGUCUUCAGGGACGAUAAUGACGGUACCUGAGGAGGAAGCCACGGCUAACUACGUGCCAGCAGCCGCGGUAAUACGUAGGGAGCGAGCGUUGUCCGGAAUUACUGGGGGUAAAGGGAGUGUAGGCGGGAAGACAAGUUGGAUGUGAAAGCUAUCGGCUCAACCGGUAGACUGCAUUCAAAACUGUUUUUCUUGAGUUAAGUAGAGGCAGGCGGAAUUCCUAGUGUAGCGGUGAAAUGCGUAGAUAUUAGGAGGAACACCAGUGGCGAAGGCGGCCUGCUGGGCUUUUACUGACGCUGAGGCUCGAAAGUGUGGGUAGCAAAC
Molecule: ribosomal RNA, 400 nt
Filed under: uncultured bacterium
Lineage: Bacteria
Description: bacterial SSU rRNA
Rfam family: Bacterial small subunit ribosomal RNA
Source: RNAcentral